CCCAUUUCCCAUUUCCCUUUUUCCAUUUCCCUAACCCAUAAAAAUCCCUAAGCCUUUCCCUCCCCCCUUCUUUUCCCCAAUUCCAAAAUCCACCUCCACCUCCACUGAUCCACAAUUCCACCUCCAAUCCUCCACGCUCCACCUAUUUCCAGAAUCAACUCUUACAAGUACUCUAGCAGCGGGUAUUCCUUCAACAGGAAAGAAAGUAAUCGACAGUACUCAAGCUUGAUCAAGAAGGGUACCUUUGCAAAUGUAUAAAGAUCUGGCACUGUCUUCUCGAAAUCGAAAGGUAAAGGAAGAGGAAAAAUAAAGAGGUUAGAGCGGUGUUUCUACGUCUUCUACCUUUGAAUUUCAAGAUAUCUUGCUUAAAAUCUUAAAACCCUUUUUGCAACUUGUUAGCUAUACAUCCCAACACUUUUCGCAAAAACAAGCAACAUUGAAAUCGAUUUGGCUUACCUUGGCUUACCUUAGCUUCCUUUCUCGUAAGCUUUCAUUUACAUUUUCUUUUUAGAAUUUAAUUUAAUUUAAUUUGAUUUUCUUUUAUUUUACUUUGUACAACAUUUUCUUUUAUUAUGAUGCAGUUUGAAUUUUAUUCAAGGUAAAGAAGUCUGUCUAUGUAUUCUUAGCAGAUGAAUGAUCAUAAAACAUUUGUUUUCUGAUUAAAAUUGAUUGAUUUAUUUUU
Gossypium raimondii (Peruvian cotton) is the source of this 682-nucleotide long non-coding RNA. RefSeq lists it as uncharacterized. The transcript has 3 exons. Lineage: Eukaryota; Viridiplantae; Streptophyta; Magnoliopsida; Malvales; Malvaceae. The record is from RefSeq and is a predicted model, not a curated record.